UGUCUUGUGGUGUAAUUGGAAGCAUACUCGACUUGUAUUCGAGAGGUCCAGGGUCCGAGCCCCGGCGAGAGUA
This 73-nucleotide transfer RNA is filed under the name Stegodyphus mimosarum. It matches the Rfam family "tRNA". From Rfam's summary of the family: Transfer RNA (tRNA) molecules are approximately 80 nucleotides in length. Their secondary structure includes four short double-helical elements and three loops (D, anti-codon, and T loops). Further hydrogen bonds mediate the characteristic L-shaped molecular structure. tRNAs have two regions of fundamental functional importance: the anti-codon, which is responsible for specific mRNA codon recognition, and the 3' end, to which the tRNAs corresponding amino acid is attached (by aminoacyl-tRNA synthetases). tRNAs cope with the degeneracy of the genetic code in two manners: having more than one tRNA (with a specific anti-codon) for a particular amino acid; and 'wobble' base-pairing, i.e. permitting non-standard base-pairing at the 3rd anti-codon position. Lineage: Eukaryota; Metazoa; Arthropoda; Arachnida; Araneae; Eresidae. The record is from Rfam by way of RNAcentral.